This 465-nucleotide ribosomal RNA is filed under the name Vreelandella stevensii. RNAcentral's name for it is "partial 16S ribosomal RNA". It matches the Rfam family "Bacterial small subunit ribosomal RNA", at positions 338 to 795 of the family's 1533-position model. The record is from RNAcentral. Lineage: Bacteria; Pseudomonadati; Pseudomonadota; Gammaproteobacteria; Oceanospirillales; Halomonadaceae.
UCUACGUGAGGCAGCAGUGGGGAAUAUUGGACAAUGGGCGAAAGCCUGAUCCAGCCAUGCCGCGUGUGUGAAGAAGGCCUUCGGGUUGUAAAGCACUUUCAGUGGGGAAGAAAGCCUUGGGGCUAAUACCCUCGAGGAAGGACAUCACCCACAGAAGAAGCACCGGCUAACUCCGUGCCAGCAGCCGCGGUAAUACGGAGGGUGCGAGCGUUAAUCGGAAUUACUGGGCGUAAAGCGCGCGUAGGCGGUCUGAUAAGCCGGUUGUGAAAGCCCCGGGCUCAACCUGGGAACGGCAUCCGGAACUGUCAGGCUAGAGUGCAGGAGAGGAAGGUAGAAUUCCCGGUGUAGCGGUGAAAUGCGUAGAGAUCGGGAGGAAUACCAGUGGCGAAGGCGGCCUUCUGGACUGACACUGACGCUGAGGUGCGAAAGCGUGGGUAGCAAACAGGAUUAGAUACCCGAGUAGUC